UGUUAGUGUAUGCAGUGUGUGUUGUGUUAGUGUAUGCAGUAUGUGUGUGUUGUGUUAGUGUAUGCAGUGUGUGUUGUGUUAGUGUGUGCAGUGUGUGUUGUGUUAGUGUAUGCAGUGUGUGUGUGUUGUGUUAGUGUAUGCAGUGUGUGUGUGUUGUGUUAGUGUAUGCAGUGUGUGUUGUGUUAGUGUAUGCAGUGUGUGUUGUGUUAGUGUGUGCAGUGUGUGUGUUAGUGU
Molecule: non-coding RNA, 234 nt
Organism: Pelobates cultripes (western spadefoot toad)
Lineage: Eukaryota; Metazoa; Chordata; Amphibia; Anura; Pelobatidae
Source: the annotation of a GenBank genome assembly